AUUGAACGCUGGCGGCAGGCUUAACACAUGCAAGUCGAGCGGUAGCACAGGGGAGCUUGCUCCCUGGGUGACGAGCGGCGGACGGGAGAGUAAUGUCUGGGAAACGGCCUGAGGGAGGGGGAUAACUACUGGAAACGGUAGCUAAUACCGCAUAACGUCGCAAGACCAAAGAGGGGGACCUUCGGGCCUCUUGCCAUCAGAUGUGCCCAGAUGGGAUUAGCUGGUUGGUGGGGUAAUGGCUCACCUAGGCGACGAUCCCUAGCUGGUCUGAGAGGGUGACCAGCCACACUGGAACUGAGACGCGGUCCAGACUCCUACGGGAGGCAGCGGUGGGGAAUAUUGCACGAAGGGCGCAAGCCUGAUGCAGCCAUGCCGCGUGUGUGAAGAAGGCCUUCGGGUUGUAUAGCACUUUCCGCGAGGAGGAAGGUUGUGAGCUUAAUACGUUCUUGAAUUGACGUUACUCGCAGAAGAAGCACCGGCUAACUCCGUG
This 490-nucleotide ribosomal RNA is filed under the name uncultured bacterium. RNAcentral's name for it is "partial 16S ribosomal RNA". It matches the Rfam family "Bacterial small subunit ribosomal RNA", at positions 30 to 507 of the family's 1533-position model. The record is from RNAcentral.